GACGAACGCUGGCGGCGUGCUUAACACAUGCAAGUCGAACGGAAAGGCCCUGCUUUUGUGGGGUGCUCGAGUGGCGAACGGGUGAGUAACACGUGAGUAAUCUGCCCCUGACUUUGGGAUAACUUCAGGAAACUGGGGCUAAUACCGGAUAGGAGCUCCUGCUGCAUGGUGGGGGUUGGAAAGUUUUGGCGGUUGGGGAUGGACUCGCGGCUUAUCAGCUUGUUGGUGGGGUAGUGGCUUACCAAGGCUUUGACGGGUAGCCGGCCUGAGAGGGUGACCGGCCACAUUGGGACUGAGAUACGGCCCAGACUCCUACGGGAGGCAGCAGUGGGGAAUAUUGCACAAUGGGCGGAAGCCUGAUGCAGCAACGCCGCGUGCGGGAUGACGGCCUUCGGGUUGUAAACCGCUUUCGCCUGUGACGAAGCGUGAGUGACGGUAAUGGGUAAAGAAGCACCGGCUAACUACGUG
Molecule: ribosomal RNA, 468 nt
Filed under: uncultured bacterium
Lineage: Bacteria
Description: partial 16S ribosomal RNA
Rfam family: Bacterial small subunit ribosomal RNA
Source: RNAcentral